AGGGGAAGUCUAGGGUGAUCCAGAUAAGUCACGCCUUGAGAUUCCCCAGAAUCGACCCGCCACGCGCCCUUCCCCCAGUCGCGGCGGCUUCCAGAUUCCCACUUCCUUCCGCCUCACCUUGCAACUCCUUCUUCUCUUUGCGAUGCCUUCUCAGCAGCUGCUCUUCCUCAUCAAGCUCUUCGGUCAAUACCGCCUCCAUGACGACCAGGUACCCCAGCACACGCGCUAGAAGAAACCUGCACCGGCUAGUAGGCACCUUCCACCCCUCAACCCUCACCCGGGGCUCCAUUGGCUACGGCUGGGACCCAGCCCCGCCUUCAAGGCGGCACCGGAUCUAAGCAAAGCCACUGCAAAGACGAGAAACUUAAAUGGGGUGCUGCGCGUGCGCGCUACCGUGACCCUGCCGUGAUGGGCGGGGCGGCAGGGGAGGAACCAGACUGCGAGCGGAGAAGCGGAGUUUGCAGCCUCGGAAUUGGCUAGAGCGCCAGAGCCGAGUCAGCCAUAAAGCUACGCGCUAGGCUCUUGGCCCUGACGUGAGGCGCGCAGAGAUGGCGUAACGGGAAUAGUUUUCAACGUCUAUUUCAUUCCCUGCUUCAGAGGACCUCUUUAAUCUUUGAUUUUGGUCCCUGUUUCUAAGAAAAGCAACUGAAAAGGUCGUAAUACCGCCCCUGAGAAAAAAGGAGCAGCGCUAAAUAAUCGAGAAAAUGCCUCCUCUUGAAACGGAUAUAGAGAUGGAAACAAGAUAUAAGAAGGAUUGAGAAUCAUAUAAUACAGGAGCUUAAACACCUAUGCGCGAUGAUAAAGAGGGUACUAUUAGAGCGCUUGGAAAAUACCAGGAAGUUGAGAGAGUUAACAGAAGGGCGCACGCUGGAUUGGCCACAAAAUCGAAUUACUGAAGUAAGUGCAAAACGACAAAUUGUCACAGAAUACAGAGAAAAGGGGAAAAGAAAUUAAGAGGAGAAAAAGAGAGAUCUAGAGGGCCGGUCCAGGAGAUACAAUCUAUGCAUAAUAGGAAUACCUGAAACUGAGGACAGAGCAAGUGGAGCUGAAACAAUAAAGGAUCUACUUGAAAAAAUUUUCCAGAAUUGAAGAACGAACUAGAUCUACAAAUGGAAAAGGCUCAUAGGAUACCUUUAAAGUUUAAUGAAAAGAAAGCAGCAUCUAGACAUAUCCGGGUGACGUUUUUGAAUUUCAAAGACGAAACAUUUUACAAGCAUCCAGUCAGAGAAAGCAGGUUACUUACAAAGGGGCAAAAGUCAGGCUGACCUCAGAUUUUUCUCCUGCAAUUCUAAAUGCCAGAAGACAGUGGAACAAUAUCUAGAGUGUUAAGGGAAAAUAAUUUUGAGCCAAGAAUUAUAUACUCUGCCAAGUUAUCAUUUCUUUACAAAGGAAACUGGAAGACAUUCUUAGAUAUACAGGGGUUAGGAAAGUAUAUCAACCAAGAACUUUCCCUGAAAAUUUUGCUGAAGGAUUUACUGCAGCUAACAGAGAACCUGAAUUAAAAUAAGAAUAGGGAGGCAAUUGUAUGAAAGAACUGAUGGGCCACUACUGAUUAGGACACUUAUGGAGAACGUGGGUAGCACUGAAGCAGCAUUCUAGUUUCCAGUGCCAUCAACCUCAUACGUAUCUACCUGGUCUCUGAUCGAAGCUACCGUAAUGUGUUCUUGAGGUCAACAUGUUUUGUGGAAGUCACUGUAUUUGCCCCUUUAUGUCAAUUACCUAUUAUAAACCGAGAGAAAUGGGAAAAUUAAAAACCUGUUUUGAAUUAUUUUUAAUGCAGAACUAUUUUUUCAAGUGAAAUCUUAUACAGAAGUCUGGUAUAUGAAACAGAUAAAAAUGAACCAAUGAGAUUGAAGGGAAUGAGUAGCAUGUAAUCCUGCCCACUCUUCGGAGAAUUUGAGGCAACUUUGUAGAGCCUUAGGAGUUCAGUUUGUAUGUUACUGGGUAAUUUAAAGCAGAAAUUUUAAUCUGACUGCACUUAAGAAUCAUCUGAAGUGUUUGUAUUGGUUAGUCUUAUUUUUAAUACUGAUGUCCUGGUCUCUCUCCCCUCAAAAAAACUCUGCUGCUGGGACCAAGCACAUAGAUGCUUUUUAAAAAGCUCCCGAAAAUGACUCUAAUAUGCAGCCAGGAUUGAAAAUAACUACCCUACACAGCAUUUUUCCUGAUUCUGAGCACUCAGCUUUUCAUUGAUUUUCCCUAGGGCAAGUCCUUCAUCUUAUUCUGGGUCCUUGUGUUUUCUUUCUGAACCUACAAUUUCUCCAUAGGUCCCAUGGUUUUCAAAAUUUCUCAUUUUCCAUUUUCUGUCCUUUUAUAUUACCUACUUGAAAACCACAGUCAUCUUUCAAAACAAAACACUGCCUGUUUCUUAGGUCUUUAU
Long non-coding RNA from Homo sapiens (human), 2377 nucleotides. Ensembl annotates it as OTUD6B antisense RNA 1 (head to head). Its record names the gene OTUD6B-AS1. The record is from Ensembl. Lineage: Eukaryota; Metazoa; Chordata; Mammalia; Primates; Hominidae.